RNAcentral lists this ribosomal RNA (2088 nucleotides) under Triticum aestivum (bread wheat). RNAcentral's name for it is "partial small subunit ribosomal RNA". Lineage: Eukaryota; Viridiplantae; Streptophyta; Magnoliopsida; Poales; Poaceae. The record is from RNAcentral.
AUGUUCCCGUCACCGCCCACCCUCCCCCCUCCCUGCCGCCGUUGCCUCACCCUUUUUUUGGAAGUCAGUUUUAUCUUGAUUUUGAAGUCGAUAGUCGUGUGUAGCAAGGUGGAUCUAGGGUUUCGUGAGAUUUUCGCCGAUUUUGUUGCUUAUAUCUGUCACUUCGUCCUUGUGCUGCAUGCAAACACAAUAUCUUCACCGAGCAGAGUGGGAGGAGGAGUUCAGGUAGGUGAUUGCAGUGCUCUUAAUGAUACACCAAUUGGCUCUUGUUGUCCUGGUGGUAAUGAUCCUGGUGUCGAGGGAGGACAUGAAGUGAAUUCGCCGAUUGAAUCUUCUCCCAUAAGUGUGGUUCCUCCUUCUGUGUUUGUUUUCCAUGCUGGGGCGCCUGUUUUUGAGGAGUCUGUUGAUGGUACAGAUGAAGUUACACAUGAUUGGAUGGUCUCGGAACAGCUUCGUGAAUAUGAGUUGAAGCAAAGCAAGAAGAAGUUGAUGUUUGAAAGUGACUCAAAAGAGUUUGCGGAGAAGGAGAAGCAGAGGAGAGCUGCAGAUGGUGCCAAAUUUGCCAAGAAGAAUCUUGGCAAGAGAACUGCUGAAGCUAGUGGAAAGGAUGAUCCUCAGCGUAAGCGACUACAUGUCACUGAAGGUACCAACUCUGAUGAUGACCACUUUGUGCUUGCUGAUUUUGUGAGGGAUGUUCAUACUGGUAGACGCAAAGACCGUGGUUCAUCUAAGAGUCUACCCAAGCGUGCCCAUGAUGAUGUCGAUGAAGAUGUUGGUGGUGACUCUGGCGAGGAGGUGGAUGUUGUUCCAAAGAGGAAGAAGUCUUGUAAGAGUAAUGCAACUAAAUAUGAUGCUGAGGGAGAUGAUUCUCGAUUUAACAAGACUAAAAAUGUGUCAUGCAUUCUUAUGUGCUAUCUGAUGGGAGUGAUUGACCCUGCCACCAUGAUAAUUGACUUUGGGAAUGGCUUGGUUCUUCGAAUCAAUUGUGAUGCAGUUCAUCACAUUUUUGAUUUACCUAUGGGACGUCACACUACACCCAUGCCUGCUGCAAGCAGCCAUGAUGACUCAUUGACUGCCCUCAAGGAUGAGCUUGGCUUUGGCCGUUCAAAAAGUAUAGGUGUGAAGGACUUGCUUGAGAAGUGGAAGGUGUUGGUGGAGGAAGAUGAUCAUGUGACUGUUGACCUUGCUGUGAAGGUGUUCUUCCUGAUACUUUACCAGAAUUUGCUGUGCCCUGAGCCUGCAGUUCAUUUGGGUAUAGUUGCUGCAAUGCUAGAGAACAUGGAUUAUGCGGCUAUGACUCAGAUGGACUUUUGCCAGCUUGUUGUUGAUGAGUUUCAGGCAGCUGUGGUGAGGCGGCAAACAGAAGACAACAAGCAGAAUUAUGCAGAGGGUUGUGCCAUUGUCCCCCUGAUUAUGUAUAUUGACUGCUUGAAGCUUCGCAAAUUUUCAGUCAUGCACAUGUUGACGCCACAUGUGUCAUACUUGACGACCAAGGACCUGAUGAAGUUAUACAAUGACGAUAUGCUUUGGAAGGCGUCAGGUGAUAUUGUGUACAACCGUCCUACUGCAGUUGUAUGCGGCAGCUCUGAUGCAGGGCCUAGCACUCAUGCUAGGUUUUAUGAGCCUAUAUGUAGCCAGAUUGCUAUCUGUGAUGAUGAGGGGCCGUGUACUCGUGGUUUCAUGGCUCGACAGAUGUUUGAUAAUAGAAGCUCUUUUAAACAGACAUUUGUUGGCAGCAAAAAACAUGAGGAGAUUGAUGAGCUUCUUCUGAAGGAGGAAAAAUGCGGUCGGUGUGAGAAGGAUGCUGGGCAUAUUUUGGAUGAAAUGAACCGUCAAGACGCUGGCGUUGGCGCUGAUAAUGCUGGAGUGGAAUCUUCUGGUCUCCAGGGAACUACGGACGAUGGAGUUGUUCAGACUGGUGUUGCUGCUUGUGAUGUGCACAAAGAGUCGUACGAUGGCUCUGGAAAGGAUGAGGUCUUGGCUAAUGCAUCGUCCCCUGCGGAUGUUGUAGAUGAUAAGUUUUACAUGUGUGAGCUUCAGUCUUUGACAGAAGUGAACUGUAGUUCUUUUCGCAUGCGUGGUCCAUAG